CGACCGGCGCACGGGUGUGUAACGCGUAUGCAACCUACCUUUAACAGGGGGAUAACACUGAGAAAUUGGUACUAAUACCCCAUAAUAUCAUAGAAGGCAUCUUUUAUGGUUGAAAAUUCCGAUGGUUAGAGAUGGGCAUGCGUUGUAUUAGCUAGUUGGUGGGGUAACGGCUCACCAAGGCGACGAUACAUAGGGGGACUGAGAGGUUAACCCCCCACACUGGUACUGAGACACGGACCAG
Molecule: ribosomal RNA, 241 nt
Filed under: uncultured bacterium
Lineage: Bacteria
Description: partial 16S ribosomal RNA
Rfam family: Bacterial small subunit ribosomal RNA
Source: RNAcentral